RNAcentral lists this long non-coding RNA (388 nucleotides) under Fukomys damarensis (Damara mole-rat). Its description in RNAcentral is "lncRNA (ENSFDAG00000028195.1)". The record is from RNAcentral. Lineage: Eukaryota; Metazoa; Chordata; Mammalia; Rodentia; Bathyergidae.
GACUAAAGCAGAAGCAGUCCAGAAACUUUCCGUGAGUCUGUGUGGUGAUUCUGCCCUUACCUCCCAGUCCGGGACCCCUGAAUCCUGUUCCCCAAGCAGUUUAGGACGAAAACAACAGUUGGUGCCCAAACAGGGGACUCGUGUAUACUGGGUAAAGAUUGAAGUUGCGGGUCGUCAGCUCUCUGGACAGUGACCUUCAGCACCUCCAGGCAGUAACUCAGUCACUCGUGGACACACCUGCUACUGUCACAACACCUUGGGUCUGGCUGCCAUCUGCUGGGUAUAAAUUCUAGCCGAAGAGGCCUCUGCGAUGCCCAGUGGACACAAAAUAAUGCUGGAAAAUGGGCACAGGUAUGUUGGAGGUGGAAACAGCCACUGUUGCUUGUGG